GACGAACGCUGGCGGCGUGCUUAACACAUGCAAGUCGAACGGUAAGACUCCAGCUUGCUGGGGUACACGAGUGGCGAACGGGUGAGUAACACGUGGGUGACCUGCCCUGCACUUCGGGAUAAGCCUGGGAAACUGGGUCUAAUACCGGAUAGGACCAUGGUGUGGAUACUGUGGUGGAAAGUUUUUUCGGUGUGGGAUGGGCCCGCGGCCUAUCAGCUUGUUGGUGGGGUAAUGGCCUACCAAGGCGGCGACGAGUAGCCGGCCUGAGAGGGUGGACGGCCACAUUGGGACUGAGACACGGCCCAGACUCCUACGGGAGGCAGCAGUGGGGAAUAUUGCACAAUGGGCGGAAGCCUGAUGCAGCGACGCCGCGUGGGGGAUGACGGCCUUCGGGUUGUAAACUCCUUUCACCAUCGACGAAGGGUUUCUGACGGUAGAUGGAGAAGAAGCACCGGCUAACUACGUG
This 466-nucleotide ribosomal RNA is filed under the name uncultured bacterium. RNAcentral describes it as "partial 16S ribosomal RNA". It matches the Rfam family "Bacterial small subunit ribosomal RNA", at positions 28 to 507 of the family's 1533-position model. The record is from RNAcentral.